RNAcentral lists this ribosomal RNA (816 nucleotides) under uncultured bacterium. RNAcentral's name for it is "bacterial SSU rRNA". It matches the Rfam family "Bacterial small subunit ribosomal RNA", at positions 636 to 1451 of the family's 1533-position model. The record is from RNAcentral.
UNUGACUUGAGUGCAGAAGGGGAGAGUGGAAUUCCAUGUGUAGCGGUGAAAUGCGUAGAUAUAUGGAGGAACACCAGUGGCGAAAGCGGCUCUCUGGUCUGUCACUGACGCUGAGGCUCGAAAGCGUGGGUAGCGAACAGGAUUAGAUACCCUGGUAGUCCACGCCGUAAACGAUGAGUGCUAGGUGUUAGGCCCUUUCCGGGGCUUAGUGCCGGAGCUAACGCAAUAAGCACUCCGCCUGGGGAGUACGACCGCAAGGUUGAAACUCAAAGGAAUUGACGGGGGCCCGCACAAGCGGUGGAGCAUGUGGUUUAAUUCGAAGCAACGCGAAGAACCUUACCAGGUCUUGACAUCCCGAUGCUAUUCUUAGAGAUAGGAAGUUACUUCGGUACAUCGGAGACAGGUGGUGCAUGGUUGUCGUCAGCUCGUGUCGUGAGAUGUUGGGUUAAGUCCCGCAACGAGCGCAACCCUUAUUGUUAGUUGCCAUCAUUAAGUUGGGCACUCUAGCGAGACUGCCGGUAAUAAACCGGAGGAAGGUGGGGAUGACGUCAAAUCAUCAUGCCCCUUAUGACCUGGGCUACACACGUGCUACAAUGGUCGGUACAACGAGUUGCGAGCCGGUGGCGGCAAGCUAAUCUCUGAAAGCCGAUCUCAGUUCGGAUUGGAGGCUGCAACUCGCCUCCAUGAAGUCGGAAUCGCUAGUAAUCGCGGAUCAGCACGCCGCGGUGAAUACGUUCCCGGGCCUUGUACACGCCGCCCGUCACACCACGAGAGUUUGUAACACCCGAAGUCGGUGAGGUANCCUUUUAGGGGCCA